Suricata suricatta (meerkat) is the source of this 467-nucleotide long non-coding RNA. RefSeq lists it as uncharacterized. Lineage: Eukaryota; Metazoa; Chordata; Mammalia; Carnivora; Herpestidae. The transcript has 4 exons. The record is from RefSeq and is a predicted model, not a curated record.
GGAAGAUACAAACAUCUCCUGGAAAUGUAUACCUCUAAACCAGCAGAAUCCAAAGUUAAAGAAAUGGGAGUUAUGAUAUUAAUGAGGACUUUUAGUAAGCCCUGGGUGGCUUGAUAAAGAGGCUGACUGACAUUUACAGAUCCUGGUCAUCUUGUCCACCUGAUUAUAGAGACCUGCUCUUUGAUUGAAAUAUUUUUCCGGAAAUUCUCUGAAGAAAAUGUCAUUAAUGGGAAGUCUACUUGUGGCAUGUAGGUUACAGCAACCCAAGUUAGGGAAGGGAGAAGAUUUCACAUUAAAUCAAACUCAGAGUCUUGAAGAUACACUGGACUGGACAUUCUAACUCCAGAUUUGAAAUUGCAUAUAUAACUUGAAGCUGUUAUACAAGAAUGAACAGAAUAGUCUUGGUGCCUCCUGGGGUUUUAAUUCAAGGGUCAAAAAGGAUUGCCUAACAUCCAUUGACAUUUACA